This 329-nucleotide long non-coding RNA is filed under the name Nicotiana benthamiana. RNAcentral's name for it is "long non-coding RNA (NBEN_LNC004063)". Lineage: Eukaryota; Viridiplantae; Streptophyta; Magnoliopsida; Solanales; Solanaceae. The record is from RNAcentral.
GCAGGUCUUCAGGAAGGACUGUGCGGCCGCGGUCCAUUUGGUACGGUCUGCAUAGGGAUUCUUGUUGGAAGAGGAUUGCUAUUAAUAUUUGGAGGGAGGCUUUUAGGCUAAGGGAAUUUUGGAAGAGUAGAAGGAUUUUGGAGAAGAGAAACAUUUAUUACUCAAACUUGUUUUUGAUUCUUUUGGCUUGAUAUGUUGUGUGUUGUGUGUUAUACAAAUGCCCAAUGCCAUCCCAUAUUUAUAGGGGAGGCUUGCCAAGCUCUAGAAUGUCUAGAGAGUUCUACCAUUUCCUAGCUAUGUACAUGUGCUAGAAUUCUAUGGAGAAUUCU